UAGGGAAUCUUGCUCAAUGGGCGCAAGCCUGAAGCAGCGACGCCGCGUGAGGGAUGAAUGCCUUCGGGUUGUAAACCUCUUUCAGCGGGGACGAAGCCGCAAGGUGACGGUACCCGCAGAAGAAGGUCCGGCCAACUACGUGCCAGCAGCCGCGGUAAUACGUAGGGACCGAGCGUUAUCCGGAUUUAUUGGGCGUAAAGCGCGCGUAGGCGGCUACACACGUCGGCUGUGAAAGCUCGGAGCUCAACUCCGAGAGGCCUUCCGAUACGGUGUGGCUAGAGGUAGGUAGGGGAGAGCGGAAUUCCUGGUGUAGCGGUGAAAUGCGCAGAUAUCAGGAGGAACACCGGUGGCGAAGGCGGCUCUCUGGGCCUGUCCUGACGCUGAGGCGCGAAAGCUGGGGGAGCGAACAG
RNAcentral lists this ribosomal RNA (410 nucleotides) under uncultured bacterium. RNAcentral describes it as "bacterial SSU rRNA". It matches the Rfam family "Bacterial small subunit ribosomal RNA", at positions 355 to 775 of the family's 1533-position model. The record is from RNAcentral.